UACGUAGGGUCCGAGCGUUGUCCGGAAUUACUGGGCGUAAAGCGCGCGCAGGCGGCCCGCGAGGUGUCACGUGAAAGCCCCGGGCUCAACCCGGGAGGGUCGUGGCAAACCGGCGGGCUUGAGGCCGGUAGAGGUGGGUGGAACUCCUGGUGGAGUGGUGAAAUGCGUAGAGAUCAGGAAGAACACCCGUGGCGAAGGCGGCUCUCUGGGACGGUACUGACGCUGAGACGCGAAAGCGUGGGGAGCGAACAGG
This 253-nucleotide ribosomal RNA is filed under the name uncultured bacterium. RNAcentral describes it as "partial 16S ribosomal RNA". It matches the Rfam family "Bacterial small subunit ribosomal RNA", at positions 524 to 776 of the family's 1533-position model. The record is from RNAcentral.